CCCGGCUCUGAAGGAGCAACUUGGAAUUGAUGUUCGUCUGAAGAGGGUUUCGCGGCCCAAAUCAGUGCCGAGCAUAUUCCCUCGGGGGACAAGCUCGAGGGGGGCGAGCGGCACCGACGCCAGCUGCAGGGGGUCUCGUGCUCUGGAGAAAAGGCAGCGGCUGGAGAUACUCCAGGAAUGCCAGUCUGAGUAGGCCUAUGUUGCUGCAGAGGAAAGAGAUGGCUUCACUGCUGACGGGGUCCCAUCAAUUGAUGUGUCAAGAAGAAGUUGCAGAGCCUUGGUCAAACCAGAGGUUGCCAGGAUGUCAAACCCUGGGUGGGAAGUAUAAUAAACCAUCUGUACUGGGCUGUGGUC
Engraulis encrasicolus (European anchovy) is the source of this 354-nucleotide long non-coding RNA. RefSeq lists it as uncharacterized. NCBI's taxonomy places the organism in Eukaryota, Metazoa, Chordata, Actinopteri, Clupeiformes, Engraulidae. The transcript has 3 exons. The record is from RefSeq and is a predicted model, not a curated record.